GACGAACGCUGGCGGCGUGCCUAAUACAUGCAAGUAGAACGCUGAAGGAGGAGCUUGCUUCUCUGGAUGAGUUGCGAACGGGUGAGUAACGCGUAGGUAACCUGCCUGGUAGCGGGGGAUAACUAUUGGAAACGAUAGCUAAUACCGCAUAAGAGUAGAUGUCGCAUGACAUUUGCUUAAAAGGUGCAAUUGCAUCACUACCAGAUGGACCUGCGUUGUAUUAGCUAGUUGGUGAGGUAACGGCUCACCAAGGCAACGAUACAUAGCCGACCUGAGAGGGUGAUCGGCCACACUGGGACUGAGACACGGCCCAGACUCCUACGGGAGGCAGCAGUAGGGAAUCUUCGGCAAUGGACGGAAGUCUGACCGAGCAACGCCGCGGGAGUGAAGAAGGGUUUCGGAUCGUAAAGCUCUGUUGUAAGAGAAGAACGAGUGUGAGAGUGGAAAGUUCACACUGUGACGGUAUCUUACCAGAAAGAGACGGCUAACUACGUG
RNAcentral lists this ribosomal RNA (495 nucleotides) under uncultured bacterium. RNAcentral's name for it is "partial 16S ribosomal RNA". It matches the Rfam family "Bacterial small subunit ribosomal RNA", at positions 28 to 507 of the family's 1533-position model. The record is from RNAcentral.